UAAGGUAGCGAAAUUCCUUGUCGGGUAAGUUCCGACCCGCACGAAUGGCGUAACGAUGGCCACACUGUCUCCUCCAGAGACUCAGCGAAAUUGAAGUGUUUGUGAAGAUGCAAUCUCCCCGCGGCUAGACGGAAAGACCCCAUGAACCUUUACUGUAGCUUUGCAUUGGACUUUGACGGGACUUGUGUAGGAUAGGUGGGAGGCUGUGAAGCAGGGACGCCAGUUCUUGUGGAGCCACCCUUGAAAUACCACCCUGGUGUCGUUGAGGUUCUAACCUGGACCCCUUAUCGGGGUCGGGGACCGUGCAUGGUAGGCAGUUUGACUGGGGCGGUCUCCUCCCAAAAGGUAACGGAGGAGCACGAAGGUUGGCUAGACACGGUCGGAAAUCGUGUUGAUAGUGCAAGGGCAUAAGCCAGCUUAACUGCGAGACCCACAAGUCGAGCAGAUGCGAAAGCAGGUCCUAGUGAUCCGGUGGUUCUGUAUGGAAGGGCCAUCGCUCAACGG
Molecule: ribosomal RNA, 504 nt
Filed under: uncultured bacterium
Lineage: Bacteria
Description: bacterial LSU rRNA
Rfam family: Bacterial large subunit ribosomal RNA
Source: RNAcentral